GCCUCCGUAGCUCAGUUCGGUAGAGCACCCGGCUGUUAACCGGGCGGUCGCAUGUUCGAUCCAUGCCGGGGGCG
RNAcentral lists this transfer RNA (74 nucleotides) under Promethearchaeota archaeon. RNAcentral's name for it is "Candidatus Lokiarchaeota archaeon tRNA-Asn". It matches the Rfam family "tRNA". From Rfam's summary of the family: Transfer RNA (tRNA) molecules are approximately 80 nucleotides in length. Their secondary structure includes four short double-helical elements and three loops (D, anti-codon, and T loops). Lineage: Archaea; Promethearchaeati; Promethearchaeota. The record is from RNAcentral.